GAGAUCCAACUAGAAAUAUAUCAACAUACAGUCAAAUGAAGCCGUCUCCUAGGAGUAACAGAUGAAGUCCAACAGAAUAGUGAGGAUUUUGAGGCAAGUAUUUUAUGACUAUAGUUCUAAAUGAAAUAGCAAAGUUUUCUAAAAAAAAUAUUUUAAGGUAAUAUAUUCAUUUGUUUUGGACUACUGGUAAUUAAGAUGUGACUUAGGAUGACAGCCAAGAUUAUGAUUUAAGGUGUUGACAUUGUUCUAUAUAUUAUUUUUUUGUCAUAUCUGUACUGUCUUUUGACUAGUAGUUACCACAGUAUUAUUUAAUUAUAGCUUUACAUUUUAAAGUUAACAAGUUGUUUUUUUUCUAUUUCAUAUGCUCUGCAUACAUAACUAAACAGGAAGUGUUUUAUGAAAAUAAUUAUAUUUAAAAUAGAAAUUAUUUAUGAAAAAAAAAAUGUUUAGGUAAUAUAUUCAGUUGUUUUGAUUUACAGACCAAGAUGAAGUACGUCCUGCUGAUUUACAGACCAAAAUAAAGUACAUCCUGCUGAUUUACAGACCAAAAUAAAGUACAUCCUGCUGAUUUACAGACCAAAAUAAAGUACAAUCUGCUGAUUUACAGACCAAAAUAAAGUACAAUCUGCUGAUUUACAGACCAAAAUAAAGUACAUUCUGAUGAUAUACAGACCGAAAUAAAGUAAAAUCUGCUGAUUAACAAACCAAAAUAAAGUACAUUCUGAUGAUUUACAGACACUUGUAUGGGCUGCUUGUAAUAAAAAAUGAUAGCCAA
Biomphalaria glabrata is the source of this 775-nucleotide long non-coding RNA. RefSeq lists it as uncharacterized. The record is from RefSeq and is a predicted model, not a curated record. Lineage: Eukaryota; Metazoa; Mollusca; Gastropoda; Planorbidae. The transcript has 2 exons.